GCACCCUUGGCGGAAUUGGCAGACGCAUAGGACUUAAAAUCCUUGGAGUUUAACUCGUGUGGGUUCGAGUCCCACAGGGUGUA
Molecule: transfer RNA, 83 nt
Filed under: Parabacteroides sp.
Lineage: Bacteria; Pseudomonadati; Bacteroidota; Bacteroidia; Bacteroidales; Tannerellaceae
Description: tRNA-Leu
Rfam family: tRNA
About the family: Transfer RNA (tRNA) molecules are approximately 80 nucleotides in length. Their secondary structure includes four short double-helical elements and three loops (D, anti-codon, and T loops). Further hydrogen bonds mediate the characteristic L-shaped molecular structure. tRNAs have two regions of fundamental functional importance: the anti-codon, which is responsible for specific mRNA codon recognition, and the 3' end, to which the tRNAs corresponding amino acid is attached (by aminoacyl-tRNA synthetases). tRNAs cope with the degeneracy of the genetic code in two manners: having more than one tRNA (with a specific anti-codon) for a particular amino acid; and 'wobble' base-pairing, i.e. permitting non-standard base-pairing at the 3rd anti-codon position.
Source: RNAcentral